Molecule: microRNA precursor, 66 nt
Organism: Amazona aestiva (blue-fronted amazon)
Lineage: Eukaryota; Metazoa; Chordata; Aves; Psittaciformes; Psittacidae
Rfam family: mir-34 microRNA precursor family
About the family: Human mir-34a was discovered computationally and later experimentally verified.
Source: Rfam
GGUUUGUAGGCAGUGUAGUUAGCUGAUUGUAUCCACUACAAUCAGUAACUUCACUGCCAUCAAAAC